RNAcentral lists this ribosomal RNA (327 nucleotides) under uncultured eukaryote. Its description in RNAcentral is "partial 18S ribosomal RNA". It matches the Rfam family "Eukaryotic small subunit ribosomal RNA", at positions 1470 to 1796 of the family's 1831-position model. The record is from RNAcentral.
CUCUUAGAUGUUCUGGGCCGCACACGCGCUACACUGAAGGAGGCAGCGUGUACUCCUGGAUCGAAAGAUUUGGGUAACCCGCGAAUCUCCUUCGUGCUAGGGAUUGAGGUUUGCAAUUAUCCUUCAUGAACGAGGAAUUCCCAGUAAGUGCAAGUCAUAAGCUUGCGCUGACUACGUCCCUGCCCUUUGUACACACCGCCCGUCGCUACUACCGAUUGAAUGAUUUAGUGAGGACUUCGGACUGGGACCGAUGCGGCUUUCGGGCUGCGUCGGUAUUCUGGAAAGAUGUCCAAACUGUAUCAUUUAGAGGAAGUAAAAGUCGUANCA